GACGAACGCUGGCGGCGUGCUUAACACAUGCAAGUCGAACGGAAAGGCCCUGCUUGCCGGGUACUCGAGUGGCGAACGGGUGAGUAACACGUGGGUGAUCUGCCCUGCACUUCGGGAUAAGCCUGGGAAACUGGGUCUAAUACCGGAUAGGAGCCAUUUUUAGUGUGAUGGUUGGAAAGUUUUUUCGGUGUAGGAUGAGCUCGCGGCCUAUCAGCUUGUUGGUGGGGUAAUGGCCUACCAAGGCGGCGACGGGUAGCCGGCCUGAGAGGGUGGACGGCCACAUUGGGACUGAGAUACGGCCCAGACUCCGACGGGAGGCAGAAGUGGGGAAUAUUGAACAAUGGGCGCAAGCCUGAUGCAGCGACGCCGCGGGGGGGAUGACGGCCUUCGGGUUGGAAACUCAUUUCGCUAGGGACGAAGCUUUUUGUGACGGUACCUAGAGAAGAAGCACCGGCUAACUACGUG
This 465-nucleotide ribosomal RNA is filed under the name uncultured bacterium. RNAcentral describes it as "partial 16S ribosomal RNA". It matches the Rfam family "Bacterial small subunit ribosomal RNA", at positions 28 to 507 of the family's 1533-position model. The record is from RNAcentral.